This 121-nucleotide small nucleolar RNA is filed under the name Nannospalax galili (Upper Galilee mountains blind mole rat). RNAcentral's name for it is "Small nucleolar RNA SNORA26 (ENSNGAG00000001838.1)". It matches the Rfam family "Small nucleolar RNA SNORA26". Rfam says of the family: The snoRNA HBI-6 belong to the H/ACA family of snoRNAs, guiding the pseudouridylation of position U4522 if the 28S rRNA. HBI-6 is the human orthologue of mouse MBI-6 snoRNA. Lineage: Eukaryota; Metazoa; Chordata; Mammalia; Rodentia; Spalacidae. The record is from Rfam by way of RNAcentral.
GUGCCCUUUUAAGGUUGAUGCAGUACUUUAAGAGGCUAACACAGAGGGAAAAGGAACUCUCCAUAAAACCCAGAGGAGAGACUGUUCACCUCCUCUUUGGAUCCUGUCGGGGGUCACAGCU